Molecule: long non-coding RNA, 3020 nt
Filed under: Bemisia tabaci
Lineage: Eukaryota; Metazoa; Arthropoda; Insecta; Hemiptera; Aleyrodidae
Description: lncRNA ENSSSA1UGG000987
Source: RNAcentral
GUUGCACAUUUUGGUUUUAUUAAAUAUUAUAUAUAUUGAUAUCUUUAGUGACAGCGACUUCAUAAAUAUAUAAGUUUUACUAAACAAUACACUACAGUAAAAAAAACCAGCAGAGUAGGGACAUUGAGAUAUAGCAAGAAGAAGUGAAUUUGAAUUUUACUAAACACUGCUUAACUUUGAUGAGGGAUUUUUACAUUACUAGAAAAUAUAGCUUUAUCUAUGUUACUUGUGUUUCUUUUAAAUGACAUGAAAUUUAUGUUUUCUUAAAAGCUCUAAAUAAUUUAUUUGGGAUGAUUUAUUCCUCUGACAUUUGUUUUCUUUGAUGACCAGCAGUAAAACUGUGUAAUCCAAGAUUGAAGAGCAUUAAGUGAUAAAAAUUUUGAUUAAGGAAGUACAUUACAAAUAUCUUUCAAGAUUACAAUACUUAAUUAAAUAAUUUGCAGGUCAUAAUAAGAACGUACACUAUGAUAAAAAACACAGUUAAGUGACAACAUUUUUACUUACAGCAGUUAAAAUAACUUUUUAUCAUCUGCAAUUGUACAGUUAUAGUAGGUAGUGUUUGUGACUGUGGUUAGAAAAAGGAAUUACGAUCAAGACUUUGUGGUAUUCAAAGUAAACGCUCCAAGCUUUGCAACGGUCAAUCACUAAGUUUUCAAAAUGAAAGCAAGGGCCCAAAACUACAACGGAAGAUGAUGUUACCAACUUGAUUAUAAAUGAAACAUUGAUACCUUGGAUGCUCAUUGCUGAAUAAGUAUAAUUACAAAUUGGGAGCAUUUUCAAUUAAUGUUGGCCUCUUGACCUUAUUUAUUAAGUCAAACUCAGUGAUCUUUCUUUUAUUACAUACAUGAAUAUUUGGACGAGAAAAGGUGUAAAUAAAGAUAAGUUACAAAUGCAGUCUUUUAGCUACAUAUUUCAAGGAAAAUUAAAUGUUAGCACUGAGACUAAAAAUCUAAAAAUAUCAUUUUCCAAUUUUUUUUUUUUUUUUUUUUUUUUUUUUUUUUUUUUUUUUUUAAAAAAAGAAGUUUACUCUAAUAAUUUGCAUUAAAAUCAGACCUCAUUGUACAGUUUAAAAAUUUAAGUGAAAAGAUCACCUUUCGUUAAGCAAGCUAGCAUAAGAUUUUUUGGGCUAAAAGGGGGUUUCCCAGAGAAGAUAAGAAGAUAAAGGAUGCUUUACCAUUAAAAUCACCCUUGUGAAAGGUCUUAGAAAUGUGUUUAACACAACUACAGUAAAAUUCAAUUGUACAGCAGCAAAUAUUGAAAGACAAAGUGCCCACUAAAUUAAAUAACUUGUAAACCCCUGUAUCACAUGCUAAAGGUGCAGAGGUUAUAUUGAAUCCACUAUACUUAAUAUUCCUGAGUAAAAUGUUGGGAGAAAGCUGAAACAGUUUCACAAGCCUCAUCAAUUGUUGACCAAUGAUUACAAUAACAAGUGAUGACACAAACCUGUCAAUUUCAGAUCAUAUGCAAGUAAUGCGAGUGAAAAAGUAAUUUUUCUUGGAAAUAAAUGAGAUCGGUCUCGGCAAUUUGAAUCUUUCUAUUUUCAGAAAAACUAGUUCCAACUUGAAUUAAAAUAACUACUUCAGGAUAUACAGGACAACAAUUGAUACAAAUAUUUCAGAAAAAAUACGGAUAUUUGGAUAACACAUAGAUAGAUUAGAAAUCUACAAAAUUUUAAUAUAGUUAUGAACAGAUUGAUUGAAAUAGACUAAUAAAAAAAAAAGGAAAAAAGAAAAAGAGAAAAAAAGGUAAAAGGAAAAAAUGGAAAAAAGGGAUUGAAAGCAGAAUUGGAAUGCUUAAUGUAACAAAAUAGAGCAAUGCAUUUUGAAGGCUUAAUGAGCAAAAAGAACCGCUGAUAAAAAAUAAUAUGCCUCAUUAUUUUAUCAGUUUUUAAAUAUUUACAUGCCAAAAAAACCUUAUUUGGUUGAGAAUGUAUAGACUGAAACAAAAAUAUGAUUAUUUAUACGAAUAAAUAAAUGUUUCAGACGUACAGAAAUUUGAUAAAAGUUUUCCGUAUCAUUUGUGCAUGGAGUUUCUUCAAAAUUUUUUAUGUAUGUAACUAACAUAAAAAUAGAACGCCAGUUUUUCAUCGUUUAAUUGUUUGCCCUCGUUCGGCUUUAUGACAAUUUCAUUGAAUCGUUGGUAAUAAUCGGGGUCAUUAAAAUCUUUCAUUGCUUUUUCGGGAUAUUUCCCAAAAUUUAUUUUUUAGACCCUUCGAUGUAUUCUUGAGAUUUUAAAUAUUGAAAUAGUACAGCUUUAUUUGAAUAAGGCAGUCCUUUAACUAGCUGAAUUAGAUUAAGAUUUACAUUUUCACUCAAGCAACUGUUAAGUGACUUGCUGAGACCAUGGCCACGAAACUGUGAUUGGCGUUCUUUAUUUGGCGUUGCCUUAGGGUUACAAGAUUCGCUUCCCUAGUAGCAUUAGCACGUAUUUCUUUACAAUUUUCUGAAAAUUUUGCAAGAAUUUAAUAGCGAUUUUAUUGAGAUGAGAUUUCGAUUACAUUCCAAUUAAAUCUUCUUGAAGUCACCUUUUUAUUUGAAUUUAAUAGCGAUUAAAUACUUAUUAAAUUUCAAUUAUGUUGAGAUGGUAUCCCGCCCGGCAAAAUUACGUUGUGGCAACGUUGCCAAAACGUUGCAGUAUCGCCGUUCAAUGUGGACUGCAGAGAAGUAUUUCUUAGGCACCCGAAAUUCACUCUAAGUCCGAAAGUAGCCGCGCGCUCCGCCCGGGUUCCCAAGCGGGCUCCCAUCGAAGUACUAACUACGCCCGACGUUGCUGAACUUCGGUGAUCGCCCGUGUGUCGCUGCCACUCAGCCACGGACGCUCGCUUGAGAGAAAGCGGUUAGUUAGCAUUAAUAAACAUCCCCAGAUCUGGUUCAAUGAUAGAAAGCAAUGAUAUUCUUGCAAUUCUGUGCAUAAUUCUACAACGAAGGAUACUGAAAAUAAUAUUAGGAAGAUCAAGUUUUUAAAAAAAGGAGUGUGAAAAAAAAUUAAAAAGAAUUGAAUAAAUAUAUUCAUUUUAUAUA